This is a long non-coding RNA of Chloebia gouldiae (Gouldian finch), 2396 nucleotides long. The record is from Ensembl. NCBI's taxonomy places the organism in Eukaryota, Metazoa, Chordata, Aves, Passeriformes, Passeridae.
UGGUGUCCGCGUCUCCCUUCUUCGACAAAAUGGUGACCCCGACGUCGCCCUCGCGCUGCGCUUGAAGAGAGAGCGGGGGAGGACGCGCCAUCGGUCGGUGAAGUAGCGUUGGGACCCGAGGCAACCGGGCCGGUGCCGAACGACGCAGGGAAGGCACCCUCGAGAGCUACAUAGGUGGUCUUGAGCCAUACGUGCUGCCGGAGCCGGAGAGUUGCAACAGCGCUGACGACAGAAUGGACAGGCAAGCAGCAUAUGAUUUGUUUACUGCACAUUUGGAAAAGAGGGGGGUCAGGGAUAUAGAUUUCAAAAAAGAUCUUCCGGGGCUCUUAGCUUGGGGGUAUGCUAAGGGUGUUUUUACUAAUCCACAUACAGUGCAUGAGUUGUCUGAGUGGCGCAAGCUAGGAGAUAUAUUGUGGGAGGCGGUUUUAGAGGAUGAUAAGACAGCUAAAAAACUAGGAAAGAUAUGGAGGGCUGUACAUAAUGUGCUUUUGAAACAACAAGCUGAAAAACGAGCAGCUGAACAGGCAGUAGAGGCAUAUAAGAGAAAUGCCCAAUAUGGACAUCCUAAUGAACCUUUAGCACCGGGUGUAUCAACGGUGAUUUUGCCUGCCCCGGAGGGGACCCCUGCUUGGCCCUCUGCACCCCCCUUUGAGGGGCAGUCAGAGGAAGUUAAAGAAUCACCGGAGGCUGCAAUGUACCUGCCGCCCCAGUCUCCAAAGCCGAAACCCUCAGGGGCUGCGGCCUCGUCCUUUCACGAGCCAGAACCUGUCCCUGGGGCACAAAGUGACCUGUGGGAGGAGAUGGCAAGGCAAAGAAGGGAGGCUUGGAGCGCCCUUGCUAAGCAUGGGCUGGAGACGGGAGAUGAGGCAGAGAUGGAAGCAGCACGAUCUAUGUCCUUUCCGGUGGUUUAUACUCCAGCAGUGGACCAGAAUGGGCAGCAGGUACAAAUGGGAACGUAUACACCCUUGGAUUGGAAAUUAUUAUCGCAGUUACGUCAAACCGUAAGCCAAUUUGGAUUUAAAAGUGAACCAGCUAAACAGAUGCUUGACUAUUUGUUUAACACGCAAUUGCUACUGCCAAAUGAUUUAAGAGCUGUAACAAAAUUAAUUUUUACACAGCAUCAGCAAUUGUUGUUCAAUGCACAUUGGCAAGCUGCAGUAAUGGAAUGCCUGGCAGUUCAGAGACAUCCGGGAGAUCCCUUACACGGGGUCACUUUAGAAGAACUGAUGGGCUUGGGUCCGUACCUUAGGACGGAAGCUCAAAUGCUUGUUGGACCUAAUAAGGUUAGGGAAGCUAUGCGAUUAGUAAGAGAAGCCAUAGACCGAGUGAAAGACAGUAGCGGGGUGCCUAUGUAUAUGGGAAUUAAACAAGGAAGGGAACAAUCUUUUGGGGAAUUCAUAGAUCAGGUCGCUGCUGCCAUAGAUAAGGCUGGGGUUCCCGACUAUAUGAAAGGAGCGCUGUUAAAACAGUGUGCUCUGCAGAACAGCAAUGAGACUACUAGAAGGGUUUUGUCAACUUUGAGGGCUAACUGGUCAAUUGAGGAAGCUUUAGAAAGAAUGGCCCUUCAGCCUACUGGGCCACAAGCCUUUUUAGUUAAUGCUAUAAAGGAAAUUGGNNNNNNNNNNNNNNNNNNNNNNNNNNNNNNNNNNNNNNNNNNNNNNNNNNNNNNNNNNNNNNNNNNNNNNNNNNNNNNNNNNNNNNNNNNNNNNNNNNNNGGGCCACAAGCCUUUUUAGUUAAUGCUAUAAAGGAAAUUGGAUUAGGGCUGCAGAAACAGGCUGAGUCUGCUCAAACACAAGUGUUAGCUGCUCUUGCUCCGCUCCGUGCUUCUGCUGCAGCGCCGGCAACCACAGGGGAUCGCAAGCCCCCCUCUGUCCGAUGCUAUCGAUGUGGAGGAGGAGGUCACAUACGCCGAGAAUGUCGAUCCACAGGAGUCUGGUGCCAGAAUUGCCAAUCUAGCACGCACAAUACAACUGCUUGCCGCCGCAGGUCGGGAAACUCUCGGCGGAGCGCGAACGGCAGCCGCGCACCGACACAAAUCGCUGCCGUAACAUCAGCGCCACCUUCAGCAUGCAGCCAGCCACAACAGGGAGCCUGGGACUUGACUUGGCAGCAGCAGUAACUACAACUUUAAUGACCUCGCGUCCUGCUAAAGUUCCAACAGGAGUUUAUGGUCCUAUAAAAAUUAAUGGACAGACAUAUGGAGGAUUACUACUAGGACGCUCCUCGGUCACCAUAAUGGGAUUGUUUGUGUUACCCGGGAUUAUCGAUGCAGAUUACACUGGGGAAUUACAAAUUAUGGUUCACACUCCGUUUCCCCCUGUGACUAUUGAAAAAGGGCAGCGCAUUGCUCAGUUGAUUCCGCUACCCCAGGUUACCAAAGGAAUGCCGGCAUUGG